RNAcentral lists this ribosomal RNA (122 nucleotides) under Pteropus alecto (black flying fox). The record is from RNAcentral. Lineage: Eukaryota; Metazoa; Chordata; Mammalia; Chiroptera; Pteropodidae.
GUCUACAGCCAUGCCACCCUGAACAUGCCCGAUCUCGUCUGAUCUCGGAAGCUAAGCAGGGUCAGGCCUGGUUAGUACUUGGAUGGGAGAAGACCACCUAGGAAUACCAGGUGCUGUAGGCU